This is a long non-coding RNA of Siniperca chuatsi (mandarin fish), 3698 nucleotides long. RefSeq lists it as uncharacterized. Lineage: Eukaryota; Metazoa; Chordata; Actinopteri; Centrarchiformes; Sinipercidae. The transcript has 2 exons. The record is from RefSeq and is a predicted model, not a curated record.
GGGAGAGUUUGAGAGAAUGUAAAAUGUUCAGUAUGGACGCUGGAAAAUGGAUUUUAAACCAGGCUGGCACCAUCUGAGACGUCUGCAGAUGGAGUCCCAGAACAUACCCAGUAUUACAGGCCUGAUCUUUACGAGCCACGCUGCACCUGUCCAUUGUCAGCCAUGUAAGGAAGACCGGACCACAACCCCCCCCUCCUCCUCCUCCGAGAGGCCCAUCACCCUGAACGUCUUUUUCACACCAUCUUUUCUUGUUGAUUUGUACAGUGAUGUUGUGCUUUACAGUGGCUCUUUUAUUUCUUUAUUUUCCUGACAGCAGCAGGACUGAAGGAUAACAAUGUUCCCUCUUUUUUACCUGAACGGCUCUUGAAAAGACAACGAGACUUCAAGCAGUGUUCAACGCUGUGAAACCAGACAGUUUGAACUCAGUGGGUGGUUCAAGUGCAGCGCACAGUGAUUAUCAGCCUCUGCAGGUAUAAAACUGCUGCUGGAUCUAAGAGGCAUACGUUUGAAUGUGUAGAAUACAGGUUUUAAGGAGUGUUUAAAGUGAAUGCAAAGGACAUUUUAAAGGUGGCACAAAUGCGUACAAAAUCAGUGGAAACAUGCAAAUGGAUGUUUAAAAUACUGAAUCCUAAAGAAAACAUUCCAGCUUUUCCCACAGCUGUAUGUCUACUCCAUGAAUGUACAGAGACGAGAGGAAGAAGAGAAAAAAGCACAAAUAAUUGCGGCAAACAUUUACUUAGAUGAGAAGGUAGCAGUACUGGGACUCUGCAGCCAUGCUAAAUGCUAACAUCAGUUUGCAAACAUGGCGAUGUUUAGCAGUUCUAGUGUUUACCAUGUUCACCAUCUUAGUUCAGCAUGUUAGCAUGCUAACAAAUGCUGAUUAGCACCAAGAACAGCUGAGGCUGGUGGGAAUGUUAACAAGUGUUUGGUCAUAAACCAAAGUAUUACUGGGCAAAUCGAAUUUUAUCCUCAGCCUUUUACAGAGCAGUUUAACUAACUAGCAUUUUAACAUUAGCGAGAUGGGAACAAAAUAGAGUAGGAUCCAACUUAAUGCUAACAGUAAAUGUUAGCUUAUGUGGAUUAACGAUCCGCUUGUUGCAUAAAGUGAUAUGCAUAUAUGGGACUCCCUAAAAACUUGUAUUUGACCCGGGGACGGUGUCUUACGUCCUGCGUCACACAGUGUCGUGCGCCUGAUGCGCGUUCUCGUCGGCUCGCAUUGGGUCAUCUCAUCACUUUUUAGAUGAGCUAGCAAAACCUAAAACUUAAAAGGUUGUUUAUUAACCUAAUCUUUACCUGAACCACAACAUUAAACCUACAAGAGACCUCACGCCUAACUGUAACUUCAAACAGAGAUGAUAUUUUAUUUUUAGUGAUCAUCGAUUUAUGAAGAUACACUUUUGCUGCUUGUACUGCUGGAACGGCUGCAACUAGACUUCCCUGCAGAUUUUCAAAUGACUUUUACCUGACUGUUGAUAAAUUCUCAAACUGACCAUCAUAACGUUAUAUUAGAAAAUAUGUACAACUAAAUAGUGUUAAAAUAUAUUGACAUUUAGACAAAAUUAUGUCCAACAACAACAAUCUCCUCAGAUGGGGGGGUCCGUCUAUCAGUCUUACAAGGCAGACUAUCAAAAUAUGCAAAUUAUAGGAAAACAUGAAUAGUGUAUUCUGUAUGCCUUCAUACUUGACAUGCAUCAAAUAAACUGAUGUCUUGCUGUAUGUGUUCACGGAGCUCGCUGAAGCGUGCACUGCUACGUCCUGCAAACCCAUCCGGGUGGAGUACCGAGUUGUUAGGGAGUCCCAUGUGCAGUAUAUAUAGCGAUAUGUUCGUAACCACAGUUUACCUCCGCCUACCUCCUCAUCCUGAGCGAGAAGGACUUAAAAAAUAUGUCCUUUAAAUCUUUCUUUUAAGUGUUAGUUUUGAAGGUAUAGUAGGUAUAGAGUUUAGGCACAAGUGAACAGAAAUCAGGCGCUUCAGGUAACGUCAGACCGUUCAGCCUUGUAAUUAUUUAUUUCAACACUCUACAAGAAGCUCAUUUUAGCACAUUUUGGCUGUCAUGGAAGGUCAUGGGUUUGAAUGGUGGGAAGUAUGUAUAAUUAAUAUUCAUGCCAUAUAUCCAUGAGAUAUAUAUUGAGAUAUCCUGUAUACUAUAUACUGUAUGUAAUUUCCCUGUAUCACAUUUUUGUAUGGGAUGCACGAGUUAAGUAUCUCAAGUUACAAUGGUAAAAAACACUGCACGUUUUGGAAGCUUCAGAAGAUUGAUUUUAUGAUAAUUUCAGCCCAGAGAUGCUUUUGGGAAGCAGUUCUGUUCCUCUGACCACUGUGAUGUAGAAUUAAUGGAACAAUCUGAAGGUUACAUGUUAACCCGCGCAUUCUCCCGUUUCAUGCUGUGCACUUAUGUUCCCGUCUUGCUUCUGGAGAAAUAUUUGUCUGGUGUGGCCUUAAAAUAGCAAUGCAAAUGACGCGUUUUUGCAUCACCGCUGGUGAUAAGCAUGACGGGCCGUCGAUGGGUCGCCUUAACGAUAUGUAGCAUCCCAAAUCCCCUCUCAGCUGCGCUAAUCUGAUGUGAGAAGAGGGAGGGAAGGGGGGAGAGGGGGGGCUGUUAACCCAAAGACAAACCAGGAAUACUCAGGGAGCUGUCUAAGUUUUCCAAUGCCUGCUGGGAUAUGUAGUCCCUUCAGCUCUUCUUCCAAGGCCCUUUUGGUGCACCCAAAAGGGUCCGACUGCAGACUUCAGGCUCGGGGACUUCAGGUCUGUGAGCCAAAAGGAAGAGAGUCUGGUCCCUAGAUUUUGAUUGAUUGAUUGAUUUGUUUCCUACACCAUAUGGGUUCACAAGACAGUAGACCACCAGGGUGGCCACAUGACAAAUUAUAAUAUGUAUAUUUCAAAACAUUACAUUUCCAUGACAGAAAUGUCCCAUUAUGAUGGAUACAGUGUUCUCUGUCUUAGCUGUCUUACAACUCAACAUGUUCUGAGCUUUGGCUUUUCCCAAAUCUCCUCCUUCCAUUGUCCCUUAUGGAUGUUUAGCAGGUUUUGUUUACCUAUACUUAUAUCACACUGCAAAUUACUCCUGAAAAUAGAUAAUAACUUGAACUAGAUUCAGCAAUGUUCACAGAGGUUUAUAGCAUUUACACAUUGUUGUUUAUCAGGUAACAGCCAAGUGCACCAACAUGCAUUUAAGUUUAUAUAUCUCAAAAUAUUGUAUAAUGUGUGUAUAAUGUGUAUGUAUUUAAAACUGAAGUGGAUAGGCUUCAUACAUCAAAAUGUUGAUGUAAUGAAACAUGAAUGCUUACUUUUGAUAUAAAUACUUCCUAUAAACAGAUUUUUGUCAGCAUACAUGCUUUUUCUAUUCAUUAUCCCUGUGGGCUACAUAUUUGUAGUUUGUAUUGUUUAUUUUAUUUAUUAAAUAAUGUUUCACAAUGCUUUAAUCAUACGUAAGGUAUGAACAAAUAAGAAUUACAUUUGCCAAAUAAAUGUUUAUGUUGAACUAUGAGUAUAUAUUCAAACAGAUUGAUAAGACAUGUAUGCCUACAUACAUGUUCUGCUAUGUUAUUAGUAAACAUUAUUGUAUAGUGUCUGUAAUAUGCAACAUGUAAUAUACUCCACCAUCAGUUCUGUUUUUAAAAGGCUCUGCUUUCUUUACUUCCAUGCUCACAUUUUUUGUAACAUUUCCAACAAAAUAAAACAACCUUUUUUGUCA